RNAcentral lists this ribosomal RNA (452 nucleotides) under Vermamoeba vermiformis. Its description in RNAcentral is "SSU rRNA". It matches the Rfam family "Eukaryotic small subunit ribosomal RNA", at positions 1258 to 1712 of the family's 1831-position model. Lineage: Eukaryota; Tubulinea; Echinamoebida; Vermamoebidae. The record is from RNAcentral.
UUUCUUGAUUCAGUGGGUGGUGGUGCAUGGCCGUUCUUAGUUGGUGGAGUGAUUUGUCUGGUUAAUUCCGUUAACGAACGAGACCUUAACCUGCUAAAUAGUCACGCGAACCGGUCCGCAAGGGCUCAAAGUUCGCGGCUCGACUUCUUAGAGGGACUAUUCGCACCCGCCAGCGAAUGGAAGUUUGAGGCAAUAACAGGUCUGUGAUGCCCUUAGAUGUUCUCGGCCGCACGCGCGUUACACUGACGGAGUCAACGAGCGUUUUUCCUUGCCCGAUAGGGUUGGGUAACCUCCUGAAACUCCGUCGUGAUGGGGAUAGAUCAUUGCAAUUAUUGAUCUUGAACGAGGAAUUCCUAGUAGGCGCGAGUCAUCAACUCGCGCCGAUUACGUCCCUGCCCUUUGUACACACCGCCCGUCGCUCCUACCGAUUGAACGGUCCGGCGAGAACUCCG